CCUACGGGAGGCAGCAGUGGGGAAUAUUGGGCAAUGGGCGCAAGCCUGACCCAGCAACGCCGCGUGAAGGAAGAAGGCUUUCGGGUUGUAAACUUCUUUUCUGAGGGACGAAGAAAGUGACGGUACCUCAGGAAUAAGCCACGGCUAACUACGUGCCAGCAGCCGCGGUAAUACGUGGGGGGCAAGCGUUAUCCGGAUGUAUUGGGUGUAAGGGGCGUGGAGGCGGGGAAGCAAGUCAGAUGUGAAAACGCAGGGCUCAACCCUGAGCCUGCAUUUGAAACUGUUUUUCUUGAGUUCUGGAGAGGCAAUCGGAAUGCCGUGUGUAGCGGUGAAAUGCGUAGAUAUACGGAGGAACACCAGUGGCGAAGGCGGAUUGCUGGACAGUAACUGACGCUGAGGCGCGAAAGCGUGGGGAGCAAACAGGAUUAGAUACCCGGGUAGUC
Molecule: ribosomal RNA, 443 nt
Filed under: uncultured bacterium
Lineage: Bacteria
Description: partial 16S ribosomal RNA
Rfam family: Bacterial small subunit ribosomal RNA
Source: RNAcentral